GUGUCAGCCGCCGCGGUAAUACCGGCAGCCCGAGUGAUGGCCGAUCUUAUUGGGCCUAAAGCGUCCGUAGCUGGCCGCACAAGUCCAUCGGAAAAUCCACCCGCCCAACGGGUGGGCGUCCGGUGGAAACUGUGUGGCUUGGGACCGGAAGGCGCGACGGGUACGUCCGGGGUAGGAGUGAAAUCCUGUAAUCCUGGACGGACCGCCGAUGGCGAAAGCACGUCGCGAGGACGGAUCCGACAGUGAGGGACGAAAGCUAGGGUCUCGAACCGGAUUAGAAACCCUUGUAGUCC
This 293-nucleotide ribosomal RNA is filed under the name uncultured prokaryote. RNAcentral describes it as "partial 16S ribosomal RNA". It matches the Rfam family "Archaeal small subunit ribosomal RNA", at positions 455 to 747 of the family's 1478-position model. The record is from RNAcentral.